Molecule: long non-coding RNA, 1032 nt
Organism: Orcinus orca (killer whale)
Lineage: Eukaryota; Metazoa; Chordata; Mammalia; Artiodactyla; Delphinidae
Exons: 3
Source: RefSeq, a predicted model, not a curated record
UGGGUCUGGAAGCAUCUCUGCAGAUUCUUUGAGACCAGAAAGAACCUGAGGUCAUGCUGUCCUCCUUAGUUCCAGCAGAUUUCCAAUCAGAGCUGGCUUUCAGUGGGACCAUGGGUGCCUCAUCAUCUCUUUCUGUUCACUAGAGUGAUACACAUCUUUAUCGCUGCCAUGGUCGUUGGGCCUUCUACUGGGGACCAGAUUUUGUAACAGGAAUCAUACAGAUGGAGAGGAAAAAAGAAGAGCUAGAAGACACAAGCUGCCCUGGGAGCAGAGAGGGAAAGUAUGAUAAGAGUCAAAGGAGGAAGAAAUGGAAGUUUUAAUGGAAGAUGAUGAGAAAACAAGAGGCCAAGCUUUGUCUACUGAAAGGGCCUAGAAGCAGAGACACCCCAGUAGCAAUGAGCACCUACAACUCAAAUCUUGGCCUCUAAUUCCAAGAGCUCCUCAAAGAAAUGGCCAGUUCCGGAGCUAGGACAAGCCAGGACAUGGAAGCAGCCUAAGUGUCUAUCGACAGAUGAAUAGAUAAAGAAGAUGUGGCACAGAUAUACAGUGGAACAUUACUCAGCCAUAAAAAGAAAUGAAAUCGAAUUAUUUGUAGUGAGGUGGAUGGACCUAGAGUCUGUCAUAGAGAGUGAAGUAAGUCAGAAAGAGAAAGACAAAUACCAUAUGCUGACACAUAUAUAUGGAAUCUAAGAAAAAAAAAAGGGUAAUGAAGAACCUAGGGGCAGGACAGGAAUAAAGACGCAGACGUAGAGAAUGGACUUGAGGACACUGGGAGGGGGAAGGGUAAGCUGGGAUGAAGUGAGAGAGUGGCAUGGACAUAUAUACACUACCAAAUGUAAAAUAGAUAGCUAGUGGGAAGCAGCCGCAUAGCACAGGGCGAUCAGCUCGGUGCUUUGUGACCGCCUGGAGGGGUGGGAUAGGGAGGGUGGGAGGGAGAUGCAAGAGGGAGGAGAUAUGGGGAUAUAUGUAUAUGUAUAGCUGAUUCACUUUGUCAUAAAGCAGAAACUAACACACCAUUGUAAAGCAGUUAUA